GGGGGGUAAGCUUCAUUGUCGAGAGGGAAACAGCCCAGAUCACCAUUUAAGGCCCCUAAAUAUUCACUAAGUGGCAAAGGAUGUAAUAUUACAUAGACAACCAGGAGGUUGGCUUAGAAGCAGCCAUUCCUUUAAAAAGUGCGUAAUAGCUUACUGGUCAAGUGAUUUUGCGCCUAAAAUGAACGGGACUAAGUGAUUUGCCGAAAAUGUGAGAGAAAUCAGUAGAAGAGCGUUCUGUUUUUAUUAGAAGCAAUAGCGUAAGCAGUUGUGGAUUAACCAGAAGUGAGAAUGUCGGCUUAAGUAACGAAAACAUUGGUGGAAAUCCAAUGCCCCGAAAAUCUAAGGGUUCCUUAGCUAGGUUCGUCCACUAAGGGUUAGUCAGGUCCUAAAAUGAGGUUUAACAACGUAAUUGAUGGAUAACAGGUUAAUAUUCCUGUACCGAUUUUUAUUUAGCUAAGAGUGACGAAAAAGGCUAGGUCAUCCAAAUACUGGUUUUGGUUUAAUUUUUCAACGUGUUGACAGGUGUUAAUAAAAAAUACCUUGAGCGAAGGUUAAAAUACGAUAGAUGCUAAGGCAUUGAAAGUGAUCGAUGUCAUGUUUCCAAGAAAAACUUUUGUAGCGUGCAAUAGAAAUUGCCUGUACCGUAAACUGACACAGGUGGAUUAGUAGAGUAUACUAAGGGGCGCGAGAUAACUCUUUCUAAGGAACUCGGCAAAAUGACUCCGUAACUUCGGGAGAAGGAGUGCCUCUAUUUGAGGUCGCAGUGAUCAGGUCCAAGCGACUGCUUACCAAAAGCACAGGUCUCCGCUAAGUUGAAAAACUAUGUAUGGGGGCUGACGCCUGCCCAGUGCCGGAAGGUUAAAGAAAUUGGUUAGCGAAAGCGAAGCUAGUGACUGAAGCCCUGGUGAACGGCGGCAAUAACUAUAAUUGUCCUAAGGUAGCGAAAUUCCUUGUCGGGUAAGUUCCGACCCGCACGAAAGGCGUAACGAUUUGGACGCUGUCUUGGAAAGAGACUCGGUGAAAUAGAAUUGACCGUGAAGAUGCGGUCUACUUGCACUUGGACAGAAAGACCCUAUGAAGCUUUACUGUAACUUGAAAUUGGUUUUGGGCUUUUCUUGCGCAGAAUAGGUGGGAGGCUGAGAUCCUCUUUUUCGGAAGAAGGUGAGCCAAAAUGUGAGAUACCACUCUGGAGAAGUUAGAAAUCUAAUAGUAUUUUUUCAUCAAGAUGCUUGACAGUUUCAGGCGGGCAGUUUUACUGGGGCGGUAGCCUCCUAAAAGGUAACGGAGGCGUACAAAGGUUUUCUCAGUCUGGACGGAAAUUAGUUGUAGAGUGUAAAGACAUAAGAAAGCUUGACUGUGAGACCUAUAAGUCGAGCAGAGACUAAAGUCGGUCUUAGUGACCCGACGGUGCUGAGUGGAAAGGCCGUCGUUCAACAGAUAAAAGUUACUCUAGGGAUAACAGGCUGAUCUCCCCCAAGAGUUCACAUCGACGGGGAGGUUUGGCACCUCGAUGUCGGCUCAUCGCAACCUGGGGCGGUAGUACGUCCCAAGGGUUGGGCUGUUCGCCCAUUAAAGCGGUACGUGAGCUGGGUUCAGAACGUCGAGAGACAGUUCGGUCCAUAUCCGGUGUGAGCGUUAGAGUAUUGAAAGGAGCUUUCCUUAGUACGAGAGGACCGGGAAGGACACACCACUGAUGUACCAGUUUUUGUGCCAACAGAAUACGCUGGGUAGUCAAGUGUGGAGUGGAUAACUGC
RNAcentral lists this ribosomal RNA (1754 nucleotides) under Euglena sp. MI59. RNAcentral describes it as "LSU rRNA". It matches the Rfam family "Bacterial large subunit ribosomal RNA", at positions 993 to 2771 of the family's 2925-position model. The record is from RNAcentral. Lineage: Eukaryota; Euglenozoa; Euglenophyceae; Euglenales; Euglenaceae.